AUUGAACGCUGGCGGCAUGCCUUACACAUGCAAGUCGAACGGCAGCGGGGACUUCGGUCCGCCGGCGAGUGGCGAACGGGUGAGUAAUGUAUCGGAACGUACCAUUCAGUGGGGGAUAACUAUCCGAAAGGAUAGCUAAUACCGCAUAUUCUGUGAGCAGGAAAGUAGGGGAUCGCAAGACCUUGCGCUGAUUGAGCGGCCGAUAUCAGAUUAGCUAGUUGGUGAGUUAAAGGCUCACCAAGGCGACGAUAUGUAGCGGGUCUGAGAGGAUGAUCCGCCACACUGGAACUGAGACACGGUCCAGACUCCUACGGGAGGCAGCAGUGGGGAAUUUUGGACAAUGGGGGCAACCCUGAUCCAGCCAUGCCGCGUGAGUGAAGAAGGCCUUCGGGUUGUAAAGCUCUUUCGGCCGGGAAAAAAUCGCAUGGGUUAAUACCCUGUGUGGAUGAUGGUACCGGAAUAAGAAGCACCGGCUAACUACGUGCCAGCCGCCGCGGUAA
RNAcentral lists this ribosomal RNA (500 nucleotides) under uncultured bacterium. RNAcentral's name for it is "partial 16S ribosomal RNA". It matches the Rfam family "Bacterial small subunit ribosomal RNA", at positions 30 to 523 of the family's 1533-position model. The record is from RNAcentral.